UACGGAAGGCAGCAGUGGGGAAUAUUGCACAAUGGGCGAAAGCCUGAUGCAGCUAUGCCGCGUGUAUGAAGAAGGCCUUAGGGUUGUAAAGUACUUUCAUCGGGGAGGAAAAAACAAAACUAAUAAUUUUAUUUCUUGACGUUACCCGAAAAAGAAGCACCGGCUAACUCCGUGCCAGCAGCCGCGGUAAUACGGAGGGUGCUAGCGUUAAUCAGAAUUACUGGGCGUAAAGAGCACGUAGGUGGUUUUUUUAAGUCAGAUGUGAAAUCCCUGGGCUUAACCUAGGAACUGCAUUUUGAAACUGAAAUACUAGAGUAUCGUAGAGGGAGGUAGAAUUCUAGGUGUAGCGGUGAAAUGCGUAGAUAUCUGGAGGAAUACCUGUGGCGAAAGCGGCCUCCUAAACGAAUACUGACACUGAGGUGCGAAAGCGUGGGGA
RNAcentral lists this ribosomal RNA (436 nucleotides) under uncultured bacterium. RNAcentral describes it as "bacterial SSU rRNA". It matches the Rfam family "Bacterial small subunit ribosomal RNA", at positions 340 to 767 of the family's 1533-position model. The record is from RNAcentral.